RNAcentral lists this ribosomal RNA (481 nucleotides) under uncultured bacterium. RNAcentral describes it as "bacterial SSU rRNA". It matches the Rfam family "Bacterial small subunit ribosomal RNA", at positions 1 to 501 of the family's 1533-position model. The record is from RNAcentral.
UUAGAGUUUGAUCCUGGCUCAGGAUGAACGCUGGCGGCGUGCCUAAUACAUGCAAGUCGAACGAAGACCUUGCCUUCGGGUGAGGUCUUAGUGGCGAACGGGUGAGUAACACGUUGGUGACCUGCCCCGAAGAGGGAGACAACCCCGGGAAACUGGGGCUAAUACCCCAUGUAAUCCAGAGAGUUAGAGGUCUCUGGAUGAAAUGAAGCAAUCCGCUUCGGGAGGGGCCUGCGGCCUACCAGCUAGUUGGUAGGGUAACGGCCUACCGGGGCGACGACGAGUAGGGGGCCUGAGAGGGUGACCCCCCACACUGGAACUGAAACACGGACCAGACACCUACGGGUGGCAGCAGUAGGGAAUAUUACCCAAUGGACGAAAGUCUGAGGCAGCAACGCCGCGUGCGCGAUGAAGGCCUUCGGGGAGUAAAGCGCUUUUCUGGGGGACGAGUAAGGACGUACCCCAGGAAUAAUUUUCGGCAAUA